RNAcentral lists this long non-coding RNA (1168 nucleotides) under Rattus norvegicus (Norway rat). Its description in RNAcentral is "long non-coding RNA NONRATT023398". The record is from RNAcentral. Lineage: Eukaryota; Metazoa; Chordata; Mammalia; Rodentia; Muridae.
UGGGAGGACCAAGCCGGAGGUUCCCACUAUGAGCCGGGAGUCUGAGCAACCAGAUGACACAGGAGCUGUCAUUCCUGUGAGCUGAGCUGGCCUGGGACUGGAGCUAACACCUGUGUGAGAGCAACACUGAAAACUCUUCCUGAGUUUUGUUUGGAAGAUGAGCAACCGUGCGGUUCCCAAGUUCCCACUGGUGAUAUUCUACAUUUCUGUACCGAGAGGCCUUCAACUUUGUUUCCAGGACCCUUGGAAAUGUGAAACUCGACAAGAGCACGUGACUUGAACGCAGUAUGUAAUAACAGCUAACGUUUAUCCAGUGUUUCCUCUCAGCCAGGCGAUGUUCCAAGAGCCUUAAGUAUUUUUUUUCCAGCCAGCUGCCACCCAAGAUUGGGCUAAACCCUCGGCCCUUUGUUAAAAUGAGAAGAAAAAAAAAGGAAAGAAAGAAAGAAAAAAAAAGAGAACACAUGCAACGCAAGCUUCUAAUAAGUAUAUUCACAACUUCGAUGCAAGGCGCUUAAGAAAACUAAAAGAAAACGGAGACCAUCGCAGGAAUCCACAGCUGGACACGAUGCAGGCAUCGACAGAUCUCGGGCAGCUCUACCCCAGUGGCUUCCUCUGCAUCACAUUUACAGCUCUGCAAAAAUCACAGAAGAGGGGAUAGGAAGACUGUAAGAGCGAAACACAAGGAGUUUGGCUGUGAAACAGUCUUUCCUAGAAAUGUCUGCAUAAACGAAAUCUGAACAGUGGCAAUCUCAGCAGUAUAUUGACGUGGAAGAGAAAACCAAACCUCACAGGAUCACAUCCGUGGAUAAGACAACUGAUGACUGCUGGGAAUGAGAGAGUUAUCCUCUAUCAGGGAUGAGCUCUCUGAUCAGCUAUCCAAUACAAACAGUAUCCCUGAAACUGUACCUACACAAACUACAGAACGGACCCAGCAGGUUGUAUUUAUAGAUUUGUGCAAAAAAACCCAUGUAGCAAUAAUAAUGUCACAAGAAGAGGCUAUCAGUCUGAACGUUGUGGCAACUUGGGAGUAGUUAGAGGGAUGAAACAGAGGGGGGAGUGUUAUAAUUAUGUUUUAAUUAAAAUAUAUAAAAAUGUAAAGGAAAACCCUCAAUGAAUUUUGUUUUAUGAGUAGGGCAGAAUUUUUCAUAAUUUCUGAAAUGGAUGUAAA